CACGUACAUUUAUCAAAUCCUCUUUAAAAAAUGACAAAAAUACUUUUUGGUUCUUAAAAGCCAUUAUGGAUCUGUUUCAUGCCAGAUUUGGUCAACUGGAGGAUGCCCAAGACUGUUUGCUAUAAUCAUUUUACAUUUUCAAAGGCGCUUUAUCAAGUAGUGAUUACAGAUGCAUACUGUAUGUGAUCAGUAAAUCUUGGUUUCUCAACUUCCUCUUCUGCAGGGAUACAGAGCAUGGGAACAACUGUCCAGAGACUGGCACUUAUCCCAGCGUUAAAGAAGAAUGGAUUUCAAUGGAGCAGCAGGAAAGAGAGAAUGAAGUGUGUUACGCCACUGUGAAACUAAAAGUGCCAAAGAAAGUGGUCCCAGUGGUACAAUUUGAUGAAAGAUCUGAGUACGCCACUGUGAGAAUACACCGAGAGGCUACAGGAGCACCAGAGGAGGGAUUCCUGUCUUCAGUCACUGAAUAAAGAAGAUUUACAAACUGGGAAAUAGGGAAAUAAGGCAUUUCUUCAUUUCUUAAUGCUUUAUUAUUUCUGCACCAGUGUACCUUUCCUAUUUAUUCCAUUGUUUUUGGACUUUGAAGGUAGUGUGUGUCAUAUUUUUAUGUAGACUCCCUCCUCUGAAUGGAUGGACACUGCUUAAUUAUUUGAGUUAAUGAAGUGAACAAUGUAUUGUAUGACACACUGAGUAUUGUGUGUCCUCACUUAAACUAUGUGGUAUAAACUAAAAAGACAAUUACACCAGGUGUUAAAUUACCCCCUUUUUAAUAUAUUACUUUUACCGUUUAUGCUUGUGGAGCUACUGUAUCUGUGAUAAAUUGAUCUUCUUUACUUUAAAUGGGAACAAUAACUCUAAAAGUAGAGGAAUAGAGCAGUGUCCAUCAACACUGGUUCAUAAGUGCCAAAAAGGCCAGAUGUUUUCACUACACCUGAGUUUUUAAAUAUGGGAAUUGAACUUAUUGUUAUUAAUUACAUUAACUAACCUUUCCUACUUUAUGUAGCUGGUUAUCAGAAAAACAUUAAACUGGCUUGAGUUGCCCAACAUAAAAUGCAAUAAUGAUCAAACUCAACUUGUAGGAGGUUCCUGCAACACAUUAGUUAAAGUAAGGAUUUUAAACUUGGUUUCCUGUCUAAGUUCCACUCCUUCCAUAUUAAAUUCA
RNAcentral lists this long non-coding RNA (1162 nucleotides) under Lepisosteus oculatus (spotted gar). Its description in RNAcentral is "lncRNA (ENSLOCG00000021726.1)". Lineage: Eukaryota; Metazoa; Chordata; Actinopteri; Semionotiformes; Lepisosteidae. The record is from RNAcentral.